CCCGGGAGGCACGCAGGCAGCUUCCCCUCCAGCUCCAGGCUGACGCGCUGCUGGCAGCCCACCCUGCGGUCCCAGUGGGGGACCCUGGGAAGUGGUCCCCACCAGGCCUGGCCUCAUCUCACCCUCUUUGCAGGGUAAAAAGAUUGUAGGUAGGAAGAAGGCAUGUGGAGAAUCCACUGCCCUGCCUAAGGACACAACCAGCCACAGGGACAAGGACUGCUCCCACGAUGGUGCUCCUGCCAGGCCCCAGCUGGACGGGGAGUCCUCUGGGUCCCAGGCAUUGAACAGCCACAUGCCUGCUGAGACCGAGGAGCUGGAUGGUGGGACCACAGAGAGCAACCUGAUCACCUCCCUGCUUGGGCUGUGCCAGAGCAAGAAGAGUCGGGUGGCCUUGAAGGCCCAGGAGAACCUGCUGCUCCUGGUGAGCAUGG
Molecule: small RNA, 431 nt
Filed under: Pongo abelii (Sumatran orangutan)
Lineage: Eukaryota; Metazoa; Chordata; Mammalia; Primates; Hominidae
Description: retained intron
Source: RNAcentral